This 478-nucleotide ribosomal RNA is filed under the name uncultured bacterium. RNAcentral describes it as "partial 16S ribosomal RNA". It matches the Rfam family "Bacterial small subunit ribosomal RNA", at positions 28 to 506 of the family's 1533-position model. The record is from RNAcentral.
GAUGAACGCUGGCGGCGUGCUUAACACAUGCCAGUCGAGCGAGAAGUUUUGAAAAGAUUCUUCGGAUGAAAUUUAAAAUGGAAAGCGGCGGACGGGUGAGUAACGCGUAGGCAACCUGCCCCAUACAAAGGGAUAGCAUUUGGAAACGAAUAUUAAUACCUUAUGAAACUUAACUAGUGCAUGCUAGGUAGGUCAAAGAUUUAUCGGUAUGGGAUGGGCCUGCGUCUGAUUAGCUAGUUGGUGAGGUAACGGCUCACCAAGGCGACGAUCAGUAGCCGACCUGAGAGGGUGAACGGCCACAUUGGAACUGAGACACGGUCCAAACUCCUACGGGAGGCAGCAGUGGGGAAUAUUGCACAAUGGGGGAAACCCUGAUGCAGCAACGCCGCGUGAACGAUGAAGGCCUUUGGGUCGUAAAGUUCUGUUCUAGGUGAUGAAAACUGACAGUAACCUAGGAGAAAGCCCCGGCUAACUCCGU